RNAcentral lists this ribosomal RNA (641 nucleotides) under uncultured bacterium. RNAcentral's name for it is "bacterial SSU rRNA". It matches the Rfam family "Bacterial small subunit ribosomal RNA", at positions 61 to 699 of the family's 1533-position model. The record is from RNAcentral.
GUCGAACGGAACUGUUUUGAAAGAUUUCUUCGGAAUGAAUUUGAUUUAGUUUAGUGGCGGACGGGUGAGUAACGCGUGAGUAACCUGCCUUCAAGAGGGGGAUAACAUUCUGAAAAGAAUGCUAAUACCGCAUGACAUAUCGGAAUCACAUGGUUUUGAUAUCAAAGAUUUUAUCGCUUGAAGAUGGACUCGCGUCCGAUUAGUUAGUUGGUGAGGUAACGGCUCACCAAGACCGCGAUCGGUAGCCGGACUGAGAGGUUGAACGGCCACAUUGGGACUGAGACACGGCCCAGACUCCUACGGGAGGCAGCAGUGGGGGAUAUUGCGCAAUGGGGGCAACCCUGACGCAGCAACGCCGCGUGAAGGAUGAAGGUUUUCGGAUUGUAAACUUCUUUUAUUAAGGACGAAAAAUGACGGUACUUAAUGAAUAAGCUCCGGCUAACUACGUGCCAGCAGCCGCGGUAAUACGUAGGGAGCAAGCGUUGUCCGGAUUUACUGGGUGUAAAGGGUGCGUAGGCGGCUUUGCAAGUCAGAUGUGAAAUCUAUGGGCUCAACCCAUAAACUGCAUUUGAAACUGUAGAGCUUGAGUGAAGUAGAGGCAGGCGGAAUUCCCCGUGUAGCGGUGAAAUGCGUAGAGAUGG